This 536-nucleotide ribosomal RNA is filed under the name Penicillium flavigenum. Its description in RNAcentral is "eukaryotic LSU rRNA". The stretch from base 189 to 341 matches the Rfam family "5.8S ribosomal RNA". Lineage: Eukaryota; Fungi; Ascomycota; Eurotiomycetes; Eurotiales; Aspergillaceae. The record is from RNAcentral.
AAGGAUCAUUACCGAGUGAGGGCCCUCUGGGUCCAACCUCCCCACCCGUGUUUAUUUUACCUUGUUGCUUCGGCGGGCCCGCCUUAACUGGCCGCCGGGGGGCUCACGCCCCCGGGCCCGCGCCCGCCGAAGACACCCUCGAACUCUGUCUGAAGAUUGUAGUCUGAGUGAAAAUAUAAAUUAUUUAAAACUUUCAACAACGGAUCUCUUGGUUCCGGCAUCGAUGAAGAACGCAGCGAAAUGCGAUACGUAAUGUGAAUUGCAAAUUCAGUGAAUCAUCGAGUCUUUGAACGCACAUUGCGCCCCCUGGUAUUCCGGGGGGCAUGCCUGUCCGAGCGUCAUUGCUGCCCUCAAGCACGGCUUGUGUGUUGGGCCCCGUCCUCCGAUCCCGGGGGACGGGCCCGAAAGGCAGCGGCGGCACCGCGUCCGGUCCUCGAGCGUAUGGGGCUUUGUCACCCGCUCUGUAGGCCCGGCCGGCGCUUGCCGAUCAACCCAAAUUUUUUAUCCAGGUUGACCUCGGAUCAGGUAGGGAUACC